GGGUCAGUAGGUUGGUCGUGCCACCGGUACGUACUGGUCUCACUGAUUCCUCCUUCCUGAGGAACCGUAAUGCCAUUAAUUUGGUGUUGCGGGGAAACAGGACUGUUACUUUGAAAAAAUUAGAGUGUUUAAAGCAAGCUAACGCUUGAAUACAUUAGCAUAGAAUAAUGAAAUAGGACGAUCGAUCCUAUUUUGUUGGUUUCUAGGAUUGACGUA
Molecule: ribosomal RNA, 216 nt
Filed under: Glomeromycotina sp.
Lineage: Eukaryota; Fungi; Glomeromycota
Description: partial small subunit ribosomal RNA
Rfam family: Eukaryotic small subunit ribosomal RNA (bases 40-216)
Source: RNAcentral